RNAcentral lists this ribosomal RNA (458 nucleotides) under uncultured bacterium. RNAcentral describes it as "partial 16S ribosomal RNA". It matches the Rfam family "Bacterial small subunit ribosomal RNA", at positions 338 to 795 of the family's 1533-position model. The record is from RNAcentral.
CCUACGGGGUGCAGCAGUGAGGAAUAUUGGUCAAUGGGCGAGAGCCUGAACCAGCCAAGUCGCGUGAGGGAGUACUGCCCUAUGGGUUGUAAACCUCUUUUGUCGGGGAGCAAAAGCCGGACGUGUCCGGCUGUUAGAGUUCCCGCAGCAAAAGCAUCGGCUAACUCCGUGCCAGCAGCCGCGGUAAUACGGAGGCUGCGAGCGUUAUCCGGAUUUAUUGGGGUUAAAGGGUUCGCAGGCGGAUUUUUAAGUCAGCGGUCAAAUCGUGGGGGUAAAGCCCAUCCAGCCGUUGAAACUGGUGAUCUAGAGUGUGCGAGAGGUAUGCGGAAUGCGUGGUGUAGCGGUGAAAUGCAUAGAUAUCACGCAGAACCCCGAUUGCGAAGGCAGCAUACCGGUGCACAACUGACGCUCAGGCACGAAAGCGUGGGUAUCGAACAGGAUUAGAUACCCGGGUAGUC